Gallus gallus (chicken) is the source of this 7881-nucleotide long non-coding RNA. Lineage: Eukaryota; Metazoa; Chordata; Aves; Galliformes; Phasianidae. The record is from Ensembl.
GGGAGAGCGCUGGGAAUGAGCGCUGGGAAUGAGCGCAGCGUUAAAGCCCCGCUGAUACGCGUAAUGAAUCCAAAGGAACCCGCGGCAGCAGAGUUAACACCUCCGCGGGAGGAGGGGGGAAAUAAUCGAGGAAGCAAUUAAUAAAGGGCUUUAAAAAAUCAAUUUCCCCCUGCGCGAAUUGGAAAUGAUGAUGGAGGGGACAGGGAUGGAUCGCUGGGUGUCGGCAGCGCGAGUUGUUGCGCCUUCGUGUCUCGGCCGCGUCCUUCCCCCGGAGUUGGCGGAGGGGCCGCGGACGCCGCGCACAGUGACACGCGGAGCUGUCAGCCCGAACGCUCCGUACGCGUCGCACGGCCCCGCAUGAAUAAUACGGGCAAAUGGGAGACGUGGGAGCAAUGUCUUAAAGGAAAAAAAAAAAAAAAAAAAAAAAGAAAGAAAGAAAGAAAAAAAAACAGAAAAAGAAAAAAAGCAGACUCCGGAGCCACACUCAGCCAUGUGCCUGCGUCGGAGUUUAUGCUUAUGCGCAGCGAUGUUCAAUGCAUUUAGGCUGCCAGUUUGCCUUUCCCGGACCGUUCUCCCCACUCCCAGCCUCGCUCCCCUCCGCUACCCCUGGGGCCCCCGUCCUCGAGGACCAGGACAAACCAACCCUUCUCCCCAAAAACAGCUGCCAGAGGGAGGGAAGCCCCGUGGCGCUCCCGUUUCUCGCUGCCCCCCGGGACAGCCGUCACCCUCCCCCGGCUCCAACAGCGCGGAAAAUGAGCGGCCCGACGGCACCGACGGCUGCGAGGAGGCGGCCUUUUGGGGAGCACGGGCGUGAGGACACCCGCCUCAGGGUCACUCCCAAUGCAAAAAGCGAAACAAAGCAUCGGAAAAGGAAAGGAGGGGAAAAAGUGGGAAAAAUAAAUAAAUAAGAAUGAAAAGAAGAGGUACGGAUCGCAGCUCCUCCCCCCUGGGGACCCGGCCGACGGCCAACGCAGGGGCGCGGGGGUUGCCGGGCCCGUCCCGUCGCAGGUGGGGAGCGCCCCCCCCCCGCAACGUACGGGCAGCGAGGGCACGAAGAGGAGCGCGGACGAAGACUCUGCACUUAUCACAUCUCCUUCCUGGAAGCCAAAUGCAGGGCAAUAUCUCACAACAUCUCCACAUGUUCCCUGCCCAUCACCAGACCUGCAGUUCUCAGGGCGAUGUUGCGUGGAAGGAGAGGAGCCAUGCAGUACGUAGACCCCACACCUGCACCAUGUAGAUGCACGGAUCCUGUGCUGGAAUGGCAGGGGAGAGCAGAGCCCAGCACUGCCUCUCUAAUUUGAGACAUGUCUGGAUGUAAAGCCGCUGUGUGUGUUGUCAAGUCCCGUUGUCUUCAACAUUUGUAAGUGAAGUGCCAUUCUCUUCAAAAAUCAUGUCCCACGUACCUCACAAAUCACCAAAGGUGAGGCACUCAAAUUAGAGAGUGCAUUCGAGAAGGAAGGUUUAAGUAAUUACACACUGUUAGGUUUUUUUGUAUUACAGUAAAAGAGGGUAUGAUCAGAUUAAACCUGGCAGACCUAGCUGGAACAGUUUAAGGAGUCUCCAUCACAGCUGUUUUUGCCAUGCCUCUGCCAGAGGCAGCCUCUUUCUCCCCACAACAGAGAAGCAGUGGGUGCUCCCCUCGGCUGCCUCACGUGCACACAUGAGCAGCACUGAGGAUUGCUGCAGUCACAGUUUGGGCAACUGCAUGUUCACUUAAAACGCUUGGAACUGACUAAUCCCUAAUUUUUUUACCAAUAUGUGAGUGAAAUGCGUUGGGGUUUUCUGAAUAAUUUUCCUUGCUGAAAUUUUUACGUCAUAGCCCAUGUGAUUGUUUUUCCAGAAACACACAGAUGCAAUUAAUUUUAAAAAUAACUCACUAGUAACAGCAACUAAACAUGGCUGUGUUUUUGCCCCUUACUUUCUAAGAUUUUUCAUUAAAAAAAAAAAAAGAGUUGUUUUGUUUCAUUUUCAUCCUUGUUUGCUGUUUUGUUUUCCCAUGGCAAAUAUCCAGGCUCUGUGGACACAGACUUUAUGCUGCUUGAGGGAGGAGAUGUGAAAAUGAUACCGUCCUUCAGAGAAUCAUAAUGUGAGCGAGGGAGAAGAAAACUUCCUCUGUGGUCUAUUUGUGCAUUACCAGGCAACCUUCCCGUGCCUCAAGAUCCUUCAUAUUCAGAUAUAUCAUCCUUACAUAACAGAUAGAUUGGAUGAAAUGUCAAAUGUAAACUGUGGAUGCUUAGAAUUUCUAUUACUUCUAAAGUGAUUUUAAAAUAAAACAGGUCCAGUGGGAGAGACAUUGCAUUAGUACAUUUGCUAAUCCUAAAUUGUACUUUAAGAAAGAUUUUUGGCAGGGGUGGUUGAACAGACAUUUCUUAACAUUGCUUCAUUUUUAUAUUUUAUUAGACAGUCGAUCAGUAAGAAGGCUCCGCAGUCACCAGUUUUUCCUACCUCCAAGUUAGACUUGAGCUGCAAGCCAGGUGACCUCAUGUGCUUCUCCUAUUUGCCAAGCUGAAAGGAAGACGUCAGGCUUAGGUCUGCUACUGGAAGCCAUCUUCAGUGUAAAGAAAGAUAAAGAAUUUUGCAAAACAAUCAUCAAAAAUUCUGAAAUUUAUUUGCCACGCAAAACUAUUUGCAGAACAUCAGUACUGUUUUCUUGUUGUUUUUUUUUUUUAAUUAUAUUUGACAAAUAAUAAAUUAUACAGACUCCUUAAUCCAAGUCAAUAUUCACUAGGAAAAUACUUACAUAAUCUUCAUAGUCAUGUUCUUCAAAAAACUGAAGCAAGUGCAUACGGCUCAGUUGCAUAUGGGACCUUACUUAGAGCUGGACUGGGUGACCCACUGGGGUCCUUUCCUACCUGAAUUACACUGCCAUCCUAAAAAUCACUGUUUACUGUGCUUCUGAUGGACACAGACCAUAAAUUCCUGAUGCUAAAUAUCAAAGCCACUUGUGUAACCACCGUCUCCAGAACAGACUGAUCCCAAGAGAUUUGCUCAUGAUGGAGAUGCACAACACUUCUUCUUGGGAAAUAGAUUUAGAUGUAUUGCUGCUUCUGAAAUACUGGACCUUCUAUUCUUGGCUGUCACCGCAGGGAUUUGGGAUUUCUGUCUUGGUCAUGAGGGUACGUGACUUGGGGCAUGGGAGAGUGCAGGUUUGGGAGGGUGACCAAGCCAGACCCAUCCUACUCCAACACAGAAUUACCUCUCCAUUCUGUAGGGACUCACCCUCAGAUCUUCUACAUUGUUUCUACAAGGCCACGUUAAUUAAAGGAGAGGGGAACAAAAAGACCAAGAUCUGGGACAGAGGUUUUAAAGGGAAGUUUAUUCAGGUUUCUCCAUCCCACAAAAUGCAAACAGUGAAAGGAACAACCUAAAAACUGCAUGUCAGAAAACAAAGAAGGGAAAGGGACGGAUGUGCUUAGAAUGGAAAACACAGUCUUUAACUGCAUAUAUGAUUAUUUCUUGUCCAAUAUUUGUAUUUUUGUGUGCGUGGUGCUUUCCUCUGUAAACACUGCAGUUAGCAUAGGUUUAGCCAAACCCAAGUCAGGCAUCUCUUCAUCCCUAGCAGCAAUAUACUGUGAAAUUAAAAGGCUGAUUAAUGAAGUUGCCAUUCCGAUAGGCAGCUCUUACUGCUCUUCCAUAAUUCAAAGGGUGAGUCGAGAUACAGGUGUCGAUAGCUUAAAUGUAUGCUGACAUGCCUGGUGCUAAAGCGAUGGUAGAAGGGGAUGUUUGUAAAUGAUGGAAACAUUAUUUCAGCAAAGGAGCUCUUCAGAGCUGAAAACACAGAACCACAGCUAGCUGGUAAACAUCGGUGUUAAAUGCAGUGGGAAUCAGAGUAGCUGCAACUCAAGGUCUGAGCAGACUUCACACUGUUAGUGUGGGCUGGGGGAAAGAGAGUUUGCACACAGUGCUAGGUGACCCCAGAUGCUGGUGCUCACAUUUGUAAGCUGCCCUGCAACACUGGCCUCUGCCAGGGGCAAAGAAAGCUACAGAGCAGAGAGCCUUCUUUUUAAUGCAGUUUUCCUUGCUUAUUCAUUUUCUUUGCAUUUAACCCUAACAGAGAUUUACUUUGACAAUUGGGAGAAGGGAGGUAAGCGCAAGCAGGUGCAUGAGGCUUAGAUGCAGCUUGGAUAUGAUAACAACAACAACAACAACAACAACAACAAAAUAAACUAACUGAAAAAAAAAAAGGAAAAAAAAGCAGAAUAGCAAAUGUUAUAGUGUUAGGUUGAAUCUCCUUAAUGUAGCUCUUGCACAAAUCUGAAGCUAAGAGUAUUAGGUUCCUGAAUGUGACUGUGAUGUGAGACCUAACUAUGAAAUAAGUUUAUAUCAUAGAAUCACAGAAUCAUUGAAUAGCCUGGGUUGAAAAGGACCAUAAUGAUCAUUGAGUUUCAAGCCCCCUACUAUGUGCAGGGUCGCCGAUCACUAGACCAGGCUCCCCAGAGCCACAUCCAACCUGGGAUAUAUAUUUGAAAUAUAUAUUUGAAAUGAUUGCCCAUAAUCCAUAAGUACUGUCUCUCACCAGUCAGUAAUUAAUAAUUAAAAAAAAAAAAAAGAAUAAACAGAUAUUUAACAUUUUAAUACACCCGUAAUGCGACCUCAGAUAUUUCAACAGACAGAGGUAUUCAUGGGUGGCUGAUGUUAACUGGUUGAAAAAUGCCUGGAGUGAACCAAAAUGUGUAAACUGAGAACAAAUUUUUUUUUUAAUUGUCUAUUUAUUUAUUUAUUCUGUCUUUCUGACUAUUUUUCUCUUCAGCGGAAUGUCCUUCUUUCACAGCUUUCCCUUUGUUAGAUCCAGUGAGAUCCACCACUCUUGAAUCACUCUGCAGGUUUCCCUGAAUGUGCUUUCAAGACUCCACACAUUUCAAAAUGUUCAUCUGGAGGAAAUGAAAACCCUAGCUAUCCAAACAACAGUAAAAGCAAUGGAAUCAAAUUUAUGUAAGAGUGGUAGAAAGAAAAAAGAAGGAAGAAGGUCCUCUAGGAGGUCACAGAUUGAUCCUAACAUGCUUACGGCAACUUCUGGUUAAUAAGAGCACACCCUGCUCCGGUAUAAACAAUCAUAAUGGUGAGUUCAGGAAAUCUGCAUCCUUUUCUACAGUGAGAAAUUUUCUUCCCAGUCCAUGGCUGAUAAUACGUGGAGAUGACAAUAUGGGCUGCAUGGUGGGGCUGCAAAGGUGGUAAUGAACAAGGACGUUGUCUUCAACUCCUAGACGUUCCCAGAAAAUAGCAAGAGUCAGGAUGGAGUUCAUCAUGCUUUCUUCCUUGUUCAUUCCCUCCCACUGCCCCUCACCCAAAUUCAGCAUGGCCAGCUAGGAAGGUUAGCCCAAGCAUAUUUACUCAGAUAGGAUGCAGAUUUAGCCACCUUGUAGUAUAUGGAAAGUAUAUAUAAAGGUCUUCUAUUAGUGUCCAAAAACAGUGCCACAGAAUAAAACCAGGAAGAGGAAAUUCUUACAUAAAAUAUCAGACAUUUCUGACUGUCCAGCUCUGCUGGAGUCAUGCUGGAGUCACCAAAGAUGUUUAGGAUGAGUCUUAUUCACCUGCACAAUAACAAGAACUCACAGGUUCAUAGAAUCACAGAAUGGCUUAGGUUGGAAGGGACACUAAAGAUCACUGAGUACAGCCACUUGCUGUGGGAAGGGCUGCCCCUUACCAGCUCAGACUGCCCAGGGUCCCAACCAAUCUGGCCUCUAGUGCCUCCAGAGAUAGGAUACCCACAGCUUCUCUGGGCAGCCUGUUAGGAUUUCUUCCUAACAUCUAACCUAAAUUUCUCCUCUUUUAGUUCAAAGCAAUUCCCCUUUGUCUUGUCACUAUCUGCUCUUGUAAAAUGUUGAUCUCACUCCUUCUCAUGAUCUCCCUUCAAGUACUGGAAAGCUGCAAUGAGAUCUCCCCAGGCUCUUCUUUUCUCCAUGCUAAACAAGCCCAACUACCUCAGCCUGUCCUCGUAGGAGAGGUGCUCCAGCCCACUGAUGAUCUCCAUGGCCCUCCUCUGGACCAGACCCAUUCCAAAGUCUUUCUUGUACUGGGGCCCCAAGUGACUGCCUGUAAACUUCAUAGUUUACUAGGAGUUGUUAUAACACAAUUUCAUACUGGCAACAAUAUGCAUGACAGUGGACCAUGAUGUUCUUUGAUAAUAUUCCACAGUUUGAAAACAAAUCUUUCUGGUUAUUAUGAUAAAUGCACAUAGGUCACUCUGAAAGCAAUGUCUCCUAUCUAUUUCCAUGGAAACUACAACAGCUACAAAGAGCACGUUAAAAUAUUUGACAGAGCAAAUUCUCAGCUAAGAAACACUAGUUUUCAGCAGUCACCACCACUGUCUAUGCAUUUGCACCAGAACAAGAGUUGAAUGCCACACUUGUAAAAAUUUGCACCAGUGGAAAUGACCCACUGUCUCUAUUGCCACUAAUGAAAUGCAUCACUCACCACCUCACUGUGCUCUCACCCACUGUUUGGUCUCCAAAAAUGUUCAGCAAGCAUUCAAAAAUGUCAAUUGCUGCCAUUUUUUCCACAUGGAGGAAUUAAAUGACACACCUUUGCUUUACCCACACUUCCAUGCCAGGCACCAUUUUGCCAGGCUGCCCCUCUGCUGCCAUCUAUUGCAUGGCAACAAAAUAUAAUGGGAUGUUGGUGGGAAGGUUCAACCUCUACUGCCAUACAACUAACAUCUGCCUCUGAUGUCAAGGGACAACAUCAUAAAAUAGGAGGCGUGACUUUCGGAGCUGCCCCCAUAGAUGUACCUAUUGCCUUUUACUAGACUGAAUGAGACCCGGUCAUGUAGGUAUCACAGUCUCUAUACUUUAUCUGCAUCUGCAUUAUUUGUGCACAGAAUACUAUUUGUACAUAGGCAUAUAAAAAAAAUUGCAUUUCCGUAUCUUUACAUUUCAGUGUCUCUGAAUGUAGAAAGAACAUAAAAAGAGCUUACAGGCUAUGUGCUAUUACCUUAUAGCUUGAGCAUACCUAAAAAGGCUUAUUCUGUAUUUUUAAAUAGCAGCUGUCUCACAGUCUAUGUGGCUUUAUCUACCAACAACUUGUGCUGUCAGGUACCACUGAAAGAAUAUCAGGUUUAGUUAUGCCUUCUCUUCCUACAACGAUGGUUUACCAUAAGAAAAGUAUUAAAGGUGUACAGUUCAUUUAAUCAGCGAUUUUGCAAGUGUUUUACUUAUGUCAACAAAGAACAAAUUGUUCAUAGCUUCUGGUAUCUGAAAGGCACUAUGCAGCAUAAAUUAUUCAAAUCAAAGCAACAUAAAUCUUCGUACAGCAAAGGUGAAGCCUCAGAAUUCCUGGCUGUGUGUUACAGCUUUGGGUAGGACAAUGACCUCUAAUCAGAACUCUUCAAUACAGUCCUUACACUGAAGAUGCCAACUUGCCACUAAGGACCUGAUUAUCUAUAAAUUUAUGGGAACCUGCAAUAACUGGUGUUUGCCUCCUGAUAAUGUUUUCUGACACAUAUCAGGAGAUUCAGCUGAUCUGUGUUAGAGAUUAUUGUACAGAAUCUGCAGUUUAUACAGGCAAUGAGUAGACAGAAGGUCCAUUUGAGACCUUUAGCUAUAGAGAAGCACAUAAGGAAAACUGUUUCCAUAGAAACAUGCCCCACAGCUGUAGUUAGUAUAGGAAAAAUAGUUUUAUGAUUAUUUCAAUGAAGUUCUACCUUUUGUUUUCAAUGCAAAAUGUAUACAAUAGGUUGCUUCACAGCAUGAUCUCAGUGUAGCUGAGGUCUUACAUGUGAAAUCCACCCCAAUGUGAAAGAACCCCGCGUUUCCCUCAUGUGUUCCUAAGAGCUUUAUUAGAUCUUGUGCAUAGUGUCUCUGACAGAAUGAUUUUUCCAUAAAAUAAAAUUGCUUUUCAGUAUUUAUUCUCUGUAUAAUAAAUGUUUACUUUUAUAUCAAUUCA